CCCCNCUGCUAUCGGGAUAGGACUAAGACAUGCUAGUCGAGUGACUCAGGCAAAACGAGUCACGGCACACAGCUCAGUAACACGUGGCUAAUCUGCCCUUGGGACAAGAACAACCCCGGGAAACUGGGGCUAACUCUUGAUAGGCGAAGAACACUGGAAUGUGUCUUCACCCAAAAAACUUCACGUUAUCCUCGUGAAGUCGCCCAAGGAUGAGGCCGCGACCGAUCAGGUUGUUGGCGAGGUAAUGGCUCACCAAGCCUUUUACCGGUGCGGGCCGUGGGAGCGGGAGCCCGGAGAUGGGUACUGAGACAAGGACCCAGGCCCUACGGGGCGCAGCAGUCGCGAAAACUUUGCAAUAAGCGAAAGCUUGACAGGGCUAUCCCGAGUGCCAUCCGCUGAGGAAGGCUUUUACCCAGUCUAGAACGCUGGGGGAAUAAGGAGAGGGCAAGUCUGGUGUCAGCCGCCGCGGUAAUACCAGCUCUCCGAGUGGUGUGGAUGUUUAUUGGGCCUAAAGCAUCCGUAGCUGGCUAAGUUAGUCCCUUGUUAAAUCCACCGAAUUAAUCGUUGGAUUGCGGGGGAUACUGCUUGGCUAGGGGACGAGAGAGGCAGACGGUAUUUUCGGGGUAGGGGUGAAAUCCUAUAAUCCCGGGAAGACCACCAGUGGCGAAGGCUGUCUGCUAGAACGCGCCCGACGGUGAGGGAUGAAAGCUGGGGGAGCGAACCGGAUUAGAUACCCGGGUAGUCCCAGCUGUAAACGAUGCAGGCUAGGUGUUUGGACGGCCACGUGCCGUUCUAGUGCCGCAGGGAAGCUGUUAAGCCUGCCGCCUGGGGAGUACGAUCGCAAGAUUGAAACUUAA
This 857-nucleotide ribosomal RNA is filed under the name archaeon enrichment culture clone K12_3130. Its description in RNAcentral is "bacterial SSU rRNA". It matches the Rfam family "Archaeal small subunit ribosomal RNA", at positions 21 to 859 of the family's 1478-position model. The record is from RNAcentral.